Talpa occidentalis (Iberian mole) is the source of this 209-nucleotide small nuclear RNA. RefSeq annotates it as U11 spliceosomal RNA. Lineage: Eukaryota; Metazoa; Chordata; Mammalia; Eulipotyphla; Talpidae. The record is from RefSeq and is a predicted model, not a curated record. The transcript has a single exon.
GAAAAGGGCUUCUGUCGUGAGUGGCACCCGAGGACAGUACAUUUGCCCUGCAUGCGGAAUCGUCAUCAAGAAAUUUUGGAAGCAUAACACUUGUAAUAUUUGGGCAGCUUGUGAUCAUUGGUCCCGAAAAGGAAAAAACAGGGCAUGGGUCUGGUCAUGGGUCUCCAGCUGAGGCAGGGCAUCCUGGGAAUGGCCUUCCCUGUGCCCUC